This is a small nuclear RNA of Dipodomys ordii (Ord's kangaroo rat), 106 nucleotides long. Lineage: Eukaryota; Metazoa; Chordata; Mammalia; Rodentia; Heteromyidae. The record is from Ensembl.
GUGCUUACUUCAGCAGCACAUAUCUAAAAUUAGAAUGAUACAAAGAAGAUUAGCAUGGGCUCUGCACAAGGAUGCCACGCAAGUUCAUGAAGCGUUCCAUAUAUCU